This 497-nucleotide ribosomal RNA is filed under the name uncultured bacterium. Its description in RNAcentral is "partial 16S ribosomal RNA". It matches the Rfam family "Bacterial small subunit ribosomal RNA", at positions 28 to 507 of the family's 1533-position model. The record is from RNAcentral.
GAUGAACGCUGGCGGCGUGCCUAAUACAUGCAAGUCGAGCGAACAGAUGAGGAGCUUGCUCCUCUGACGUUAGCGGCGGACGGGUGAGUAACACGUGGAUAACCUACCUAUAAGACUGGGAUAACUUCGGGAAACCGGAGCUAAUACCGGAUAAUAUAUUGAACCGCAUGGUUCAAUAGUGAAAGACGGUUUUGCUGCCACUUAUAGAUGGAUCCGCGCCGCAUUAGCUAGUUGGUAAGGUAACGGCUUACCAAGGCAACGAUGCGUAGCCGACCUGAGAGGGUGAUCGGCCACACUGGAACUGAGACACGGUCCAGACUCCUACGGGAGGCAGCAGUAGGGAAUCUUCCGCCAAGGGCGAAAGCCUGACGGAGCAACGCCGCGUGAGUGAUGAAGGUCUUCGGAUCGUAAAACUCUGUUAUUAGGGAAGAACAAAUGUGUAAGUAACUAUGCACGUCUUGACGGUACCUAAUCAGAAAGCCACGGCUAACUCCGUG